GGGGGAGAGCUGGAGACAAAGGAGCUACAGAUCUGAAUACCCAGUGAGCUUGGAGCCAUGCGGUUGUCAUGCACUAAACUAAAUAUGGAAUUGACCAGGUGACCCUUUGAAGGUAAAGGAUGGCGAGUUUCUGACAACUGGCUGGGGCCAGGAGAAC
Molecule: long non-coding RNA, 157 nt
Organism: Fundulus heteroclitus (mummichog)
Lineage: Eukaryota; Metazoa; Chordata; Actinopteri; Cyprinodontiformes; Fundulidae
Exons: 3
Source: RefSeq, a predicted model, not a curated record